This 262-nucleotide ribosomal RNA is filed under the name uncultured archaeon. RNAcentral's name for it is "partial 16S ribosomal RNA". It matches the Rfam family "Archaeal small subunit ribosomal RNA", at positions 748 to 1008 of the family's 1478-position model. The record is from RNAcentral.
AGGGUGUAAACGCUGCAGACUUGGUGUUGGGAACCCUUCGGGGUGCUCAGUGCCGGAGAGAAGUUGUUAAGUCUGCUACUUGGGGAGUACGUCCGCAAGGAUGAAACUUAAAGGAAUUGGCGGGGGGAGGCACCGCAACGGGAGGAGCGUGCGGUUUAAUUGGAUUCAACGCCGAAAAACUCACCAGCAGCGACUGUUACAUGAAAGUCAGGUUGAUGACCUUACUAGAUUUUCAGAGAGGUGGUGCAUGGCGUCAGUGACU